GUGCAAUCGCUGUAAUAUUUUAUUUUUAAAAGGUCUUAAACAAGAAUAAAUUUGUUUCUUGCGAGCUCGUUGUGUCAUUGCACGAGAAGCCGCGCCGUCUCGCGUUGUCAAAAGAGCUGACGCAAAUCGUUCAUUUUCAAACUUCAACAGCUGAAAAACACCCACUUUUAGCUCUUGGUUUGUUCUAAUGGGUGGAUUGUGUGCAAUCGCUGUAAUAUUUUAUUUUUAUAAGGUCUUAAACAAGAAUAAAUUCGUUUCUUGUGAGCUCGUAGUGCGAGUGCAGGAGAAGCCGCGCGGGCUCGCGCUGUCAAAAGAGCUGACGCAAAUCGUUCAUUUUCAAACUUCAACAGCUGAAAAACACCCACUUUUAGCUCUUGGUUUGUUCUAAUGGGUGGAUUGUGUGCAAUCGCUGUAAUAUUUUAUUUUUAAAAGGUCUUAAACAGGAAUAAAGUCGUUUGUUGUGAGGUCGUUGUGAAGCCCCGCGGUCUCGCGUUGUCUAAAUAGAUGACGCAAAUCCUUCAUUUUCCACACUUCAGCAGCUGAAAAACACCAACUUUUAGCUCUUGGUUUCUUCUAAUGGGUGGAUUGUGUGCAAUCGCUGUAAUAUUUUAUUUUUAAAAGGUCUUAAACAGGAAUAAACUCGUUUGUUGUGAGAUCGUUGUGAAGCCGCUGGUCUCGCGUUGUCAAAAAUAGAUGACGCAAAUCCUUCAUUUUCCACACUUCAACAGCUGAAAAACACCCACUUUUAGCUCUUG
Cyprinus carpio carpio is the source of this 755-nucleotide long non-coding RNA. The record is from Ensembl. NCBI's taxonomy places the organism in Eukaryota, Metazoa, Chordata, Actinopteri, Cypriniformes, Cyprinidae.